Physeter macrocephalus (sperm whale) is the source of this 3341-nucleotide long non-coding RNA. RefSeq lists it as uncharacterized. NCBI's taxonomy places the organism in Eukaryota, Metazoa, Chordata, Mammalia, Artiodactyla, Physeteridae. The transcript is spliced from 4 exons. The record is from RefSeq and is a predicted model, not a curated record.
GUUCAUGCGUGUGCACGUGCAUACACACAACUGACAGUGUGAUAGAAGUGAAAAAGGGCAAACCCCUCACCCUGAAAUGUGGGAAGAGAACCUGGCCUUUUCCUGCAAUGUCUCUCUCACGCUGUCUUCUGACAAAGUUUAGCAUUGCUCUCACAGUAAAGGAGAAAUGCUGAGAGCACACACAGCCCCUUAUCACAGAGCAGGUACUGAAGGGUGAAUUUGGAUCCAAUAGGCAAACAAUUGAUAUCUGGCACACUGGGUAAAAAUCAUGGUAUUUAUCUGCAAGAGAGAAUUAUAUGAAGUAAUUAAAAAUUAUGUUUUAGAAGACUAUUUAAUGCCCUGAGAAAAUUCUCAUGAUAUACUAAGUGAAAAAGCAGAUUACAAAAGCAAUCAAUACAGUGUAAUCCUAAUUUUUAAAAAAAAGAGCAAGAAAAAGAGUGAAGAUCUGUGUUUAAAAAAAGGUUCCUGAAUGUCUUCUCCUUUUCCCACUGCCUGUUGACCCCCCUUCCCAUCCUUCCCCAUGUUUUGGUGAGAGUGAGAAAGUGAGUCAAAGGUCAGGCAGUGUACUAGAGAACCAAUGAUUUUAAUUCCCUUCCGGUCAUCUGCCUCACCCCUUGCCCAGGAGGAGCUGGGGAAAUGUGCAGGGAAAGUAUUAUGUUACAUAGAAUCUCAGCCGCUUUCCCUCUCCUUUUUGCUUUCAGAAUUCCCCCAGUGAUAUUGGACUGGCCCCUCCUCAGGCCCAGGAGAACUGGAAAGGAUUGGACCCCGGCUUCAGGAAAGGGUGUGAGAAAAGUUGGUUCCCUUUAUCGCGCAGACCAGCAAGGAUCAGUGGUCUCAUGAAGAAAGGUGGUCCGUGGCUGACAGUGCUGGCCACUCGGAAGGAGAGCUUGGCACACACCCCAUCAAGGUGACUACACAGAGGGUGUCUCUCCCGUCACAUUUCCUGAUGCGACAGUGACGUUGCAAAUGUCAGUGGGGGCAGGUCCUCUGACCCGCUAAUGGGCUGCGUCUGAUUCUGCAGGGCUUGCUUGCCUUUCAAGGGUCACUCUGGUGUUUUCUCAGCUGCUGGAGCCUGACCCUCUCUGACAAUUAUUACUUCAUGUCAAAAGACUGCCGGGCGAGCUGUCUGGAUCUGCCAGGAGAGACGGAGCUGCCCCCAUCAAACUCUGGGCUGUGAGGCUCAGGCGGAGGGUGAAAGGUUCUGGAGUUUUCUGUGGAAAGACACCUCGGCCCCGCUCCUGUGCCCCACCACCCCUGUCCUCCCUAGUAACCCCUCACCAGCCUUCAGCUUCCCUCCGAGCUGGAGCAGAGACCUUAGGCGGUGGCACCAUCACGGGGCCAGGGUCUGUGCUGUGAGAAAGUGACAAGAAAGAUGGCCCUGGGCUGCUGGCUGACCAUCUUCAGGAUGGAUGAUCUGAGUCUCCUGGAAUUUGUCCCUAGAGAAAGUGGAGAGGGCUUCUCUCUCCCUGUAAUAACGACCCACUUCAAUCCCCAGGUUUUCUGCAGGUGUAACGCAGGAGGGAGCGAGGCCCGUGUUCACAGCCUCCAUCAUCUCUCACUGGCUCUUGUUUACAAAGUGCCAACCCAGGCUGCAUGCUGCUCUGGGCCUUCCUGGAAGGGGUCAUUCAUCUGGGAGGAAAGUAGGGGUCCCUGAGAAUGAUGAAGGGUGAUGGAGGGCAGCCACCAGGGCCUCCUACCUCUGUGUUUCCCAGAAGAAGGUCACAAGAUGGCAGGGACCAGCCUGGGUCCAGGGAGCACCUCCUCAGGCAGAAGCUGAUGGAACUUUGGGUUCUGACUCCCAAGUUCAAUGGCACCAGCGACAUGUAGCUCUAACUUGUGACUUCUCCUGCCUCUCUCUGUGUGUGCCCAUGGGGGUGGCCUGAGGAAAUGCCACUGCUUCCUGGCAGUACUGAGAGCUGCCCUCUGUUUACAUGGAUGAAUCUAGAAUGAAGAUGGCUAAUCACAACGAUGGCUAAUACUUUGGGAAGGCUUACCUUGUGCCGGAAAGAAGUGCUUGUAAUGGAUUCUUUCAUUUAAAGCAGUCUUUCAACACGUAUCCUGUGUGCCGGCAAGGUUCUAGGCACUGCAAUGCAGCAGUGGAUGAAAGAGAGAAAAUCCCACGGAUGAACAUGUGGUCUGUACACACGAUGGGACAGUAUGCGGCCUUAGAGGAAGGGAAUUUGGCCACGUGCUACAACAUAGAUGAAACUUGAGGACGUUGUGAAGGAAAUAAGCCAGAUACAAAAGGACAAAUACUGCAGGAUUCCACUUACAUGAGAGCCAUAAAAUGGAAUUUUUAAGAUUUUGUUGUUGAGGAAGAGCCCACGGAAUGAUGGUGCUGCUGCAGUGUCCGCUUUGCCCUUGGCAGCCCCAGGGCCCCGUCCAGAGCCCUGAACCCAGUGGGCGCUGAGUGAACGAGGGAGGAGACUCAGAGGAUUCAACAGCUACAAGGAGAAUGAAAUGCAUUACGAGGGGGAUGGAUGCUCGUGGGACAUUCCAUGGAACUCAUCCUACCGGCAGAGCUUGAAAGAUGUGGAGAGAUCGGGCUGGAAGAAAAUAAGGAAAGUGAGAUGGAGGAGAAAACCGCCUGAGGAUAAUGCAAAGGGCACCUGGCAGGACCGGGGGCAUCUCUCUGUCUCCCUGUCUCUAACUUCCUUUGAGUCUUUGUCAUCUUGGUUUCCUGCCCUCCCUGUGCUCCUGCUUGCCUGCUGAGUUGUGAGAAUCAAAGAUCAUCACACAGACGGAGAAAACAGAGAUGCGAGCAGGUGCUGGUGUUGGUGGUUGACCGGUCACAGGGCCAGUGGAUUCUAUCCUCCAUCCCCUUCGGACUCAUCCUAUCCUCACAUCCACCGCCUGCCUCUCCGCAGCCCUGUCUCCUCCUAAAGACUGUCUUCAGGGCACGUCCAGCACAGGUGACUCACGGUCCAUCCACUGGUGCCCGAUGUCAGCUGUCCCUCGUCCUCUGGCGCCGGCGUUUGUGGGAACGGCCUCUAUUUCUAUCCUGCAUGAACUUGGGAGCAGAACUCAGAAAGCAUUCCCUCACGCAAGAGCAGAAGUCUGUUUAGUAGGAUUUCCAGAAGCUCUCCCAAGGGAGGCGGUGUGGGUGUUUAUGUCACAGCAAACUGCUUAAAGAUCCAUUUCAGGUGUUUCGCUUCUCGAAAAUCUUUUUCUAUCUCCCUGUCCCCAGGAAGUGCCCGACCUGGGUGGCGGUCCUCUCCUCUUUCAUGACAAGCGGAGCAGCCCUGCCCAGCCUCCACUCCCAAACUUGCAGAAAACUCUGUACAGACCAUAGUGAAACAAAGAGUGACGGGGUUAACUAGACCUACUUUCAUUUUAAAAGG